Molecule: ribosomal RNA, 397 nt
Filed under: uncultured bacterium
Lineage: Bacteria
Description: bacterial SSU rRNA
Rfam family: Bacterial small subunit ribosomal RNA
Source: RNAcentral
GGAAUCUUGCGCAAUGGGCGAAAGCCUGACGCAGCAACGCCGCGUGCGGGAAGACGGCUCUCGGGUUGUAAACCGCUUUCAGCAGGAACGAAAAUGACGGUACCUGCAGAAGAAGGUGCGGCUAACUACGUGCCAGCAGCCGCGGUAAUACGUAGGGCGCAAGCGUUGUCCGGAAUUAUUGGGCGUAAAGAGCUCGUAGGCGGUUUGUCGCGUCUGUCGUGAAAGCCCACGGCUUAACCGUGGGUCUGCGGUGGAUACGGGCAGACUAGAGGCAGGUAGGGGAGAAUGGAAUUCCCGGUGUAGCGGUGAAAUGCGCAGAUAUCGGGAGGAACACCGGUGGCGAAGGCGGUUCUCUGGGCAUUAACUGACGCUGAGGAGCGAAAGCAUGGGGAGCGAA